UACGAAGGGGACUAGCGUUGUUCGGAUUUACUGGGCGUAAAGCGCGCGUAGGCGGUUCGCUAAGUCAGGGGUGAAAUCCCAGGGCUCAACCCUGGAACUGCCUUUGAUACUGUCGAUCUGGAGUAUGGAAGAGGUGAGUGGAAUUCCGAGUGUAGAGGUGAAAUUCGUAGAUAUUCGGAGGAACACCAGUGGCGAAGGCGGCUCACUGGUCCAUUACUGACGCUGAGGUGCGAAAGCGUGGGGAGCAAACAGG
RNAcentral lists this ribosomal RNA (253 nucleotides) under uncultured bacterium. RNAcentral's name for it is "partial 16S ribosomal RNA". It matches the Rfam family "Bacterial small subunit ribosomal RNA", at positions 524 to 776 of the family's 1533-position model. The record is from RNAcentral.